Molecule: ribosomal RNA, 275 nt
Filed under: Paenibacillus borealis
Lineage: Bacteria; Bacillati; Bacillota; Bacilli; Caryophanales; Paenibacillaceae
Description: partial 16S ribosomal RNA
Rfam family: Bacterial small subunit ribosomal RNA
Source: RNAcentral
GCGUAAGCGCGCGCAGGCGGCUACUUAAGUCUGGUGUGUAAACCCUCGGGCUCAACCUGGGGUCGCACUGGAAACUGGGUGGCUUGAGUACCGAAAAAGAAAGUGGAAUUCCACGUGUAGCGGUGAAAUGCGUAGAUAUGUGGAGGAACACCAGUGGCGAAGGCGACUUUCUGGGCUGUAACUGACGCUGAGGCGCGAAAGCGUGGGGAGCAAACAGGAUUAGAUACCCUGGUAGUCCACGCCGUAAACGAUGAGUGCUAGGUGUUAGGGGUUUC